AUAAAUGAUAACAGCUAUACGCCGAUCAUGUGACGGCAUCAACCAGGAGGUAUAACUCAGACAUGAUAACAGCUAUACAGCCAUCAUGUGACGACAUCAACCAGGAGGUAUAACUCAGACAUGAUAACAGCUGUACGGCGAUCAUAUGACGGCAUCAACCAGGAGGUAUAACUCAGAAAUGUUAACAGCUGUACGGCGAUCAUGUGACGGCAUCAACCAGGAGGUAUAACUCAGAAAUGAUAACAGCUGUACGGCGAUCAUGUGACGGCAUCAACCAGGAGGUAUAACUCAGAAAUGAUAACAGCUAUACGGCCAUCAUGUGACGGCAUCAACCAGGAGGUAUAACUCAGAAAUGAUAACAGCUGUACGGCGAUCAUGUGACGGCAUCAACCAGGAGGUAUAACUCAGAAAUGAUAACAGCUAUACGGCCAUCAUGUGACGGCAUCAACCAGGAGGUAUAACUCAGAAAUGAUAACAGCUAUACGGCCAUCAUGUGACGGCAUCAACCAGGAGGUAUAACUCAGAAAUGAUAACAGCUAUACGGCCAUCAUGUGACGGCAUCAACCAGGAGGUAUAACUCAGACAUGAUAACAGCUAUACAGCCAUCAUGUGACGACAUCAACCAGGAGGUAUAACUCAGACAUGAUAACAGCUGUACGGCGAUCAUAUGACGGCAUCAACCAGGAGGUAUAACUCAGAAAUGAUAGCAGCUGUACAGCCAUCAUGUGACGGCAUCAACCAGGAGGUAUAACUCAGAAAUGUUAACAGCUGUACGGCGAUCAUGUGACGGCAUCAACCAGGAGGUAUAACUCAGACAUAAUAACAGCUAUACGGCCAUCAUGUGACGGCAUCAACCAGGAGGUAUAACUCAGAAAUAAUAACAGCUAUACGGCCAUCAUGUGACGGCAUCAACCAGGAGGUAUAACUCAGAAAUGAUAACAGCUAUACGGCCAUCAUGUGACGGCAUCAACCAGGAGGUAUAACUCAGAAAUGAUAACAGCUAUACGGCCAUCAUGUGACGGCAUCAACCAGGAGGUAUAACUCAGAAAUGAUAACAGCUAUACGGCCAUCAUGUGACGGCAUCAACCAGGAGGUAUAACUCAGAAAUGAUAACAGCUAUACGGCCAUCAUGUGAUGGCAUCAACCAGGAGGCAUAACUCAGAAAUGAUAACAGCUAUACGGCCAUCAUGUGACGGCAUCAACCAGGAGGUAUAACUCAGAAAUGAUAACAGCUAUACGGCCAUCAUGUGACGGCAUCAACCAGGAGGUAUAACUCAGACAUAAUAACAGCUAUACGGCCAUCAUGUGACGGCAUCAACCAGGAGGUAUAACUCACAAAUGAUAACAGCUAUACAGCCAUCAUGUGAUGGCAUCAACCAGGAGGUAUAACUCAGAAAUGAUAACAGCUUACGCCGAUCAUGUGACGGCAUCAACCAGGAGGUAUAACUCAGAAAUACCAGCAGCAUGAACGUUCUGAAACGGCACAAUUGUGGCACAAACCACUGAGUUUGGUGCCAAUUGGACGCACGGUGGUCCAGCCGCACGGCCGUCUCACACACCAUCACUAUAACACAUGCAGCAUCACUACAGGAGAUACAGAUCCAAGGUAUCAGCAGAGCAUGGAAGCCCAGCAAUUUAGGCAGAACAUCUACAGUGUGCAGUGACCACAGUGUCCAUUUGAGGAUGUUUCCAUGACAUCCACUGCAUCGUCUCCAUAUUUGUUAAUGCUACGUUUUCAGCCGACUUACAGGUUGACAUAUUUGCUCUUUUCUUUAAUUGUAGUUACCACAUUAUAUUUGAUCUUGCAGAUGUUUCAUUCCUUUUCUCAA
This is a long non-coding RNA of Brienomyrus brachyistius, 1829 nucleotides long. RefSeq lists it as uncharacterized. The transcript is spliced from 3 exons. The record is from RefSeq and is a predicted model, not a curated record. Lineage: Eukaryota; Metazoa; Chordata; Actinopteri; Osteoglossiformes; Mormyridae.